UUCUCAGUAGUAUAACGGUUAGUAUUCGUGCUUGUCACGCGCGAGAUCUGAGUUUGACUCUCAGCUGGGGAG
Amniculicola lignicola CBS 123094 is the source of this 72-nucleotide non-coding RNA. The record is from the annotation of a GenBank genome assembly. NCBI's taxonomy places the organism in Eukaryota, Fungi, Ascomycota, Dothideomycetes, Pleosporales, Amniculicolaceae.